UACCUGCAGCUCGAGUGGUAACCGCUAUCAUUGGGCCUAAAGCGUCCGUAGCCGGUUUGGUAAAUAUCUGGGUAAAUCGUGAGGCUUAACUUCACGAAUUUCGGAUAGACUGCCAGACUUGGGAUCGGGGGAGGUCAGAGGUACUCCAGGGGUAGCGGUGAAAUGUUGUAAUCCUUGGAGGACCACCGGUAGCGAAGGCGUCUGACUAGAACGGGUCCGACGGUGAGGGACGAAGCCCUGGGGCGCAAACCGGAUUAGAUACCCGGGUAGUCCAGGGUGUAAACAAUGUGGGCUUUGUAUUGGAGGUCCCACGUGGGCGUCCAGUGCAGAAGAGAAGUUGUUAAGCCACCGCCUGGGAAGUACGGUCGCAAGGCUGAAACUUAAAGGAAUUGGCGGGGGAGCACAGCAACGGGAGGAGCGUGCGGUUU
RNAcentral lists this ribosomal RNA (428 nucleotides) under uncultured archaeon. RNAcentral describes it as "bacterial SSU rRNA". It matches the Rfam family "Archaeal small subunit ribosomal RNA", at positions 474 to 903 of the family's 1478-position model. The record is from RNAcentral.